Molecule: ribosomal RNA, 497 nt
Filed under: uncultured bacterium
Lineage: Bacteria
Description: partial 16S ribosomal RNA
Rfam family: Bacterial small subunit ribosomal RNA
Source: RNAcentral
GAUGAACGCUGGCGGCGUGCCUAAUACAUGCAAGUCGAGCGAACGGACGAGAAGCUUGCUUCUCUGAUGUUAGCGGCGGACGGGUGAGUAACACGUGGAUAACCUACCUAUAAGACUGGGAUAACUUCGGGAAACCGUAGCUAAUACCGGAUAAUAUUUUGAACCGCAUGGUUCAAAAGUGAAAGACGGUCUUGCUGUCACUUAUAGAUGGAUCCGCGCUGCAUUAGCUAGUUGGUAAGGUAACGGCUUACCAAGGCAACGAUGCAUAGCCGAACUGAGAGGGUGAUCGGCCACACUGGAACUGAGACACGGUCCAGACUCCUACGGGAGGCAGCAGUAGGGAAUCUUCCGCAAUGGGCGAAAGCCUGACGGAGCAACGCCGCGUGAGUGAUGAAGGUCUUCGGAUCGUAAAACUCUGUUAUUAGGGAAGAACAUAUGUGUAAGUAACUGUGCACAUCUUGACGGUACCUAAUCAGAAAGCCACGGCUAACUAAGUG